GACGAACGCUGGCGGCGUGCUUAACACAUGCAAGUCGAACGGAAAGGCCCUGCUUUUGUGGGGUGCUCGAGUGGCGAACGGGUGAGUAACACGUGAGUAACCUGCCCUUGACUUUGGGAUAACUUCAGGAAACUGGGGCUAAUACCGGACAGGAGCUCCCGCUGCAUGGUGGGGGUUGGAUAGUUUCGGCGGUUGGGGAUGGAUUCGCGGCUUACCAGCUUGUUGGUGGGGUAGUGGCUUACCAAGGCUUUGACGGGUAGCCGGCCUGUGAGGGUGACCGGCCACAUUGGGACUGAGGUACGGCCCAGACUCCUACGGGAGGCAGCAGUGGGGAGUAUUGCACAGUGGGCGGGAGCCUGAGGCAGCAACGCCGCGUGCGGGAUGACGGCCUUCGGGUUGUAAACCGCUUUCGCCUGUGACGAAGCGUGAGUGACGGUAAUGGGUAAAGAAGCACCGGCUAACUACGUG
RNAcentral lists this ribosomal RNA (468 nucleotides) under uncultured bacterium. RNAcentral describes it as "partial 16S ribosomal RNA". It matches the Rfam family "Bacterial small subunit ribosomal RNA", at positions 28 to 507 of the family's 1533-position model. The record is from RNAcentral.